AAUUGAUAAUAAUAUUAUUAUUAUUAAAAAGUAAUCUAAUAAAAAUAUUAUAUAAAUAUUAUUUAUUCUUUCUUUUAUUCUUAUUAUACCAAAUAUAGAGAAGAGGAGAUUAUUUCCAUCCUUCCUUCCAUAUUAAUUUAGACAUAUGAAAAAAUAGAUGAAAGAUCCAUCCAUCCUUCAUCUUCUAUCUAUCUUUCAUUCAAUCUAUCUUUUGUACUGAAUCGAAGGUUAAGGUUCAUUGUAGAUCCAAUUUGACUAUGAGAAAUAGAUGAGUGCGCCUACUUUUUCAAUAUGUCCCAUUCAAAAUCUGGCUACUGAUAUGAUUCCAACCCAAGUCCUUAGUGUUAUCUUUCAUAGAUUUUCUUUAUUUGCAUUAGUGGCACCCUCCUACCUUGCGAUGAUUUUCUACCAAUUAUUGCGCAGGAAUUGCAUAAAUUUCUAUCUAAUUUCUUAGUCAAUAUGUAUUUUCGCUUUCCACUUCUUUUAUUUUGGAAAAACUAUAUUAAACCUGGAUAUGUGCUUCUAUUUGGAAAUUGGUAGUAUAUUUGCAUAUAGCGAUGACAGUGUGUCAGGCCUAAUCGAGUUUGCUACUAAUUUACUCAAAUAAACUUUACUCUCAACAACCAAGUCAGGUCAAAGUUCUGACCCAUUCCUGAUCUAUUUAAACUCCAGCUCAAAAAAUUUGACCUGAAUCUCAGUCGCACUGAACAAUUCAAGCACGGCGGAAGGUGGAUUCUUGGUCAAGUCAAUCUUAACAGCUGAUAGCAAUAAAAGUAGCAAAAAGAGGAGAAAUGGUAUAUGUAUAUGUGUAUACAUACAUACAUAUAUAUGUAUACCUAUAAGACUUUACUCUAGAGGCGAAACAGACAUGAAUACUGUUUCACUUGGGACCUUUCCCUCAAUCUUUGUUCAUUGCUUCCUACUUCUAUAUUUGUCUGUGUCAUCCGAUUAUCCAUCCAUACCUUGCGAUGGAAACUAUAAAUCCUUGUUCCUUGCUUCCUACUCGCAUGGUUCUUUGAAUUGUCCUUCUCCAUUCAUUUUUCGUAUAUAGCAGCUAUUAUAAGUCUUUAUUUUCCCCCUCUCCUUUUUCGGUUCAUGAUGUCCUUCUCCAUUCAUAUGCCAUGGAGGCAACCAUAUCAUGGGAACCACAUCCUUUAUGCCUCACUGACCAAAAUUACUUUAAGAUCGGUACGGUUUGAGUUUAUGCUGAAACUAACUUAAUGCAAGUCUGCAUACGGGUUGAUUAAAUGCUCGAACUAUUAGAAUUUUUUAUUCUCCAAAUAAGAGUGGAUUUCUUAUUUCAAAAUCAUUUCAAUGUAUUUAUCUAAAUAUUUAAGGGACUCCUGACCGUAGGACAGCAAGGAGAAAGAUAGGUAGCCUCCUGCAUGGAUGGAUGGAGAGAGAGAAUGACCGAUUCUGAGGAGCCUUCAACUUAAUUUGUAAUCAUUGUGUGCACAGUGGUAUCUCUUUAUCAUUUACCAAAAAAAUUCAUUUCGGUCCAAUGCCGGUAAAAGAGUGAUUCAUUACUAAAGUUUCAUGUAUUGCUCAAAAAUUUUGAAUAAAAUUGCAUGUCUUGGCC
This 1579-nucleotide long non-coding RNA is filed under the name Elaeis guineensis (African oil palm). RNAcentral describes it as "long non-coding RNA (EGUI_LNC015493)". Lineage: Eukaryota; Viridiplantae; Streptophyta; Magnoliopsida; Arecales; Arecaceae. The record is from RNAcentral.